UACGUAGGGGGCAAGCGUUGUCCGGAAUCAUUGGGCGUAAAGAGCGUGUAGGCGGCUUGGUAAGUCCGCUGUGAAAGUCCAGGGCUCAACCCUGGAAUGCCGGUGGAAACUGUCAAGCUUGAGUCCGGAAGAGGCGAGUGGAAUUCCUGGUGUAGCGGUGAAAUGCGCAGAUAUCAGGAGGAACACCAAUGGCGAAGGCAGCUCGCUGGGACGGUACUGACGCUGAGACGCGAAAGCGUGGGGGAGCAAACAGG
This 254-nucleotide ribosomal RNA is filed under the name uncultured bacterium. Its description in RNAcentral is "partial 16S ribosomal RNA". It matches the Rfam family "Bacterial small subunit ribosomal RNA", at positions 524 to 776 of the family's 1533-position model. The record is from RNAcentral.